This 5068-nucleotide long non-coding RNA is filed under the name Daphnia pulicaria. Its description in RNAcentral is "uncharacterized LOC124343849". Lineage: Eukaryota; Metazoa; Arthropoda; Branchiopoda; Diplostraca; Daphniidae. The record is from RNAcentral.
GAAUACCGCAAUUAUGAUCCGACAUUUUCGAUAAUCGUUCAACGUGCAAAAAAUUUUAAUUGCAGAGUACUGUUUGAACGUCAAACAUCCAUUGAAAGUAAAAAAAAAAAAAAAAGCGGGUGAGAUGUGAGCUGUGAUCGUUCGGCUUAUUUUUAGCUCCACCUAUCUAGUGUAACUUGCGUGAACAAGCGGCCUAGGAAGAGAUAACUGUUCUAGCCGUAGACACCAAUCUUUGUUAAGAGAUCGGAUGCCCAGUCUCUUCGCCUACAUUGAUAAGGUAUCUUGUCGCAUGUGACUACAGACAACCUUAUUCACCAGACCGACCACUGCAGACAUCCCUUGGGUAUGGAAACGAUUAUACUCACCAGGGGAAUCGAACUCACGGUCUCAAAGUGCUUCGUUUACUAUGUGACGCGUUAUCCGACUCACCUACCCGACCCGCUCUCGAUUUGUAUUAUUAAGAGACGUAUUUGUAGGCCUACUUUAUUUUAUACCUUGAUGUGGCGUGUUCAUCUGACUAUCAACUCCCAACGACUCUUGUAUGGUCAUUUUAGCAUUUAAUCCCAAAAUAAAUUCUCAAGAAAUUACGAAAUUACAAGAAAAAAAAAAUUGAAGUGUGGUGUUUGGACACCCGAGGAGGAGAGAACCUACAAGAAAACUAAACAUCCAAUAUUCCAAGUCUUCCUUAAACAUUACUGUUAGUAAUCAUUCGUCCGGCCAUCAAAUCAAAGGUAAAACUCAAUUCUUUGCGCUUUCUUUAAUUUUAAAUUAAAUUUUAAAUACAUCUCCAGUAUCAUGCAUCCGCAUUUUCAUGGCGGCCAUUCGUAGCUCGUAGAUUUCCCUCUUGUCCAUAUUUUGUUGCUUCUCCAUCUGCCGGAAUCAAUUUUGCAUUACCAGGUACAUUUCGGGUCUUUGUGGCGGAGGAAAUAGGUGGUGAAACUCGUUUCCGGGAUACCUUUGAGGAGGAGGUGUUGGUUGGGUAGCCCAUUGAAUUGGGAUGUGCUUUAGGUAGGAAUAAUACGGGUCUGCGCAAUCUCCUGUAAACCGUCCAGCUGUUGCCGUUACUGGAAUUGGGGGAGGAGGGAGUUGUGGCCUUUGCCCUGGAUUUGUUGGGCCAGUUGGGUUCGCUACCUUUCUGGUUAUCUUCUCCCAAAAGCCAAGAAGUAAUCCAAUUGAAAACAACAGUCAACACUCAACAUUGUGGCUGGUGACAUUUUGGGUGAGCUAAGUUUUCUCGGACGGUUUGUCAGAAAUCCGAAAUCAAGUCACGUGGGGCUUCCUCUUAUGUGAAGUACUGAUUGCAUCACCGAUAACGAAAGGCCGAUAACGAUCAACCUCAUAACAAACAGGCAUCGCAAUAUUUUUUCAUUAUUUUUAUUCGUCUGAUUUUUUUAUCAAGAGAACAAAAAAAGAUCAGAUCGGAUUGAAUAGCUGUCUUUCUUGGGAACAGGUUAACUUUUGUUUAAAUGUAUUACUUCUCUUUUACUUACUUUUGUGCUUCAUUUCACAUGUUUCUGUUUUUUUUUUAUGAAUUAGAAUUAGGGAAGGACAUUUAUUGCUUCAACCCAUGUGCAUGUGCUUCAGUUGUACCGUUUAAUAAAUUCAGAUAAAUACCUAACCUGGAAUUUUCGAAUGACAUCCAAACAUACGUUCUUUGGCGAUUAGUAGGCCUGCAGCUUUAUCUUUGUCAUCGUCGUACUUCUGUGCCCAAGUAAGUUAGCGAAUGUCACAUCUCUCUUAAUAACCCCAUCUUCCCAUCGGCGUUUUGUUUAUAUUAUGGAUUGUCAUAGAUGGCAAAAGACUAAAGCAGAGUAUUUUUGAAACCGCCAGAUCAAUGUUAACUUCAUCUUGAGUUCUGAGCCUACGCUUUUUAGGACUCAAAGAACCGCUGUAUUCAGUUAACCAUAGAUUAAGAAUUAACCGAUCGGUGUGAAACAGCUAUGUUCACCAGUAGAGUCGAACUCAGGUGUCAAAGUGCUCUUGCGAUCACUAAGCCACGCCUUAUCCGACUCACAUACCCGACCUCCCAUUGUUUGUAUAUUAGUUCAGUUAGCCUAUUUAACUUUCUUUUCAUUUUAGGCACAUUUUAUUAUCUACUCGACUUUCAGAUUCAUUCUUUAAACGUCGUUAUUUCUAUCGUUAACAUAAAAAAAAAAUUAUGUGCUUUGCUCUUCUUUUUACAUCGAAAGAAAACAAAAAGUUCGGAUGUGACUACUAGAUGGCAACUGCAAAUUUAGUAUAUUUAAAUAUGGCUGGUAGGUGGCGUCAUGCGCUCUCAGGGGGUAGUUAGCACUAGCAGUCGACGAAAAAUGGAGAAUCGGCCGAAACCUGAAAGAAUACUGUUUUUGAAGGACUAAGAAUAUCAAAAGUACCAUCCUUAUUGACAGAAACAUCAUUCAUAGUCUUAUUAACUAGGUUGACCUUCCAUUUGAUUGGAGGAUCCGGCGACUUCUUCAUCACCCCUUCCUGGAUUUUUCCCUUUCCUCGAGUCUUCGUGUACGUUCAUGUGAAUGUGAACGUAUUCACGGGGACGUCCUUUUUUUUGCAUUUCUCCUCAUUGUUUCACGUUCGUACCCGUCGGAAUUCCAUUCCUCGAGUCUUCCAACCAAGCUCAAGAAAUUACGAAAUUACAAGAAAAAAAAAUUGAGUAAGGACUGGGGCAAGGACAUUAACCAAUUUUGGCAACAUUGGUGCAACAAUUAAUCGUCGUCUGCCGUUUCAAUUUGGAGUGUGGUGUUUGGACACCCGAGGAGGAGAGAACCUACAAGAAAACUAAACAUCCAAGAUUCCAAGUCUUCCUUAAAAAUUACUGUUAGUAAUCAUUCGUCCGGCCAUCAAAUCAAAGGUACAUUUCGGGUCUUUGUGGCGGAGGAAAUAGGUGGUGAAACUCGUUUCCGGGAUACCUUUGAGGAGGAGGUGUUGGUUGGGUAGCCCAUUGAAUUGGGAUGUGCUUUAGGUAGGAAUAAUACGGGUCUGCACAAUCUCCUGUAAACCGUCCAGCUGUUGCCGUUACUGGAAUUGGGGGAGGAGGGAGUUGUGGCCUUUGCCCUGGAUUUGUUGGGCCAGUUGGGUUCGCUACCUUUCUGGUUAUCUUCUCCCAAAAGCCAAGAAGUAAUCCAAUUGAAAACAACAGUCAACACUCAACAUUGUGGCUGGUGACAUUUUGGGUGAGCUAAGUUUUCUCGGACGGUUUGUCAGAAAUCCGAAAUCAAGUCACGUGGGGCUUCCUCUUAUGUGAAGUACUGAUUGCAUCACCGAUAACGAAAGGCCGAUAACGAUCAACCUCAUAACAAACAGGCAUCGCAAUAUUUUUUCAUUAUUUUUAUUCGUCUGAUUUUUUUAUCAAGAGAACAAAAAAAGAUCAGAUCGGAUUGAAUAGCUGUCUUUCUUGGGAACAGAAUUAAGGAAGGACAUUUAUUGCUUCAACCCAUGUGCAUGUGCUUCAGUUGUGCCGUUUAAUAAAUUCAGAUAAAAACCUCCACCUGGAAUUUUCGAAUGACAUCCAAACAUACGUUCUUUGGCGAUUAGUAGGCCUGCAGCUUUAUCUUUGUCAUCGUCGUACUUCUGUGCCCAAGUAAGUUAGCGAAUGUCACAUCUCUCUUAAUAACCCCAUCUUCCCAUCGGCGUUUUGUUUAUAUUAUGGAUUGUCAUAGAUGGCAAAAUAUUAAAGCAGAGUAUUUUUGAAACCUGGAGGUUGAAUAAUGAUCAGAAAUCUAAGUUUAAACAAUUAAACAAUAAUUAAAAAAAAAAAAAAAAAUGUAUGGGGUUUUUCACUCUUUAGACCAAUACUGGCAUCGCCAGAUCAAUGUUAACUUCAUCUAGAGUUCUGAGCCUACGCUUUUUAGGACUCAAAGAACCGCUGUAUUCAGUUAACCAUAGAUUAAGAAUUAACCGAUCGGUGUGAAACAGCUAUGUUCACCAGUAGAGUCGAACUCAGGUGUCAAAACAUACCCGACCUCCCAUUGUUCAUAUAUUAGUUCAAUUAGCCUAUUUAACUUUCUUUUCAUUUUAGGCACAUUUUAUUAUCUACUCGACUCUCAGAUUCAUUCUUUAAACGUCGUUAUUUCUAUCGUUAACAUAAAAAAAAUUAUGUGCUUUGCUCUUCUUUUUACAUAGAAAGAAAACGAAAAGUUCGGAUGUGACUACUAGAUGGCAACUGCAAAUUUAGUAUAUUUAAAUAUGGCUGGUAGGUGGCGUCAUGCGCUCUCAGGGGGUAGUUAGCACUAGCAGUCGACGAAAAAUGGAGAAAUAUGCCGAAACCUGAAAGAAUGCAGUUUUUGAAGGACUAGAACAUUAAAAGUACCAUCCCUAUUGACAGAAACAUCAUUCAUAGUCUUAUUAACUAGGAUGAGACAGGGACACAAGCUUUGUAUCAGCAUUAGUUUUAUACUCAUUUCGAAAAUUUAAGGUUGCCCUCGUACAUCUGCUUGUGCUCUUGAGCUUCCAUAAAACUAAGCAUAAAAUUCAACACAUGUGUCAAAAAGAGCUUGACGAAAUUACAUAACCAAUAGUAGCCAUAUUUGUUUUCGACACUGGAAAGACCGCCGAACGCCCGAACGUCAUUUACGAUGAAUGACAAUGCUUUCUUCACCAAGAAAAACAGUAAAUAUUUUGAUCACUUUCAGUCUGUAUUAAUUACGUUACUGGAAAGUGUAGCAUGUCGUGCGGUACGAGGUGGAGGGCCAAUGGAAUCCAUUUGUGUUGUGUAGCGUGCACUUUGAUUCUGUAGAAAACAUUUUAAUUUUUGAAAUGGAAUCCUAGUAGGACUUUUCUCUUACUGUUAGUAUCGAUCAGAUUACUAGACUUCAUGCACCUUGGACGUCAGAGUCUAACCAAGAGGUUUGCUUCCGGAGCAGAAGAGAAAGUCAUUCCAGUUUUCGAAGCACAUCACAAUUUUCUACAGAAAUUUGCCCGGAUCUGUCGUAUUCAUCAGCCAAUUUCAGAAACAUGCUGGGUGUUCCUCAGGGUAAUCCUGUUUUAGUCUUGGGUCUUUCCAAUAAACCCGUUUACCAUAGAGCCGAGUCAGAAGUUCCGAAAACUCCACAUUAAAAAAAUGUUUCUAUUCUCC